RNAcentral lists this long non-coding RNA (1441 nucleotides) under Carassius auratus (goldfish). RNAcentral's name for it is "lncRNA (ENSCARG00000038021.1)". The record is from RNAcentral. Lineage: Eukaryota; Metazoa; Chordata; Actinopteri; Cypriniformes; Cyprinidae.
GGGUGGAGUUUAUGGCCUGUACUGCAGCCCCACCAGGGGGGCGAUCAGAGAGCCUGUCGCUUCACUUUCAGGAUGUGCAAGGCACACCAGGUUGUAACAUUUCCGUUGUGAUGUGUUUCACAGGUGCGCACUUUCUUCACUGAGGUGUUGAACGAAGCUGAGCGAGAGCGUCUGUGUCAGAACAUGGCCGGCCAUAUGAAAGGAGCUCAGCUGUUUAUUCAGAAGCGCGCGGUAUGAUCUUUUAAUUUUUUUAUUUUGUUUUGGUCCUGUGAGUUUCUUAGUCAUGCAAACUAAUCAAACUUCUCUUUAGCAGUUAGGGAUUAUGUGAACAUUCCUGGGGGGGAAUGCUUGAUUUCAGAUGAUUCAGAAUUUUGUGAUUUUUUUUUUUUUUUUUUUUUUUUGCAGGUGCAAAACCUUAUGGCUGUUCACCCGAUUAUGGCACUCGUGUUCAAACUCUCCUGGAUAAAUACAACUCGGAAGGGAAAAAGAACACUGUUCAUGUUUAUACUCGUGGUGGAGCGUCCGCUGUGGCUGCAGCUUCUAAGAUGUGAUUCAAAGUGCUGCCUCUCUGCACACACACAUAUAAACAUAUUCAUUCUCUCAUAGAGUGUGAUAUAGAGUCAUUUUGCUUAAUUCAUUCCUUGUGUGCUGUAGAAAUAUGGACAUCAUAUCUAAUAUGGUCAAUUCACAACACAAGUGGUAUUAGCAAAUGCAGCGCUGAUUCUUAAAUCAUGAUUAAUGCCUUCAAACCAGAUGGAUGCUUUUGAUGCAUAUACGUAAGCUUGAGUUUAUCCAAACUAAAUCAGUCUGAUAUUUCUGCAUUUUGGUGGUGUGCAAAAUGUAGAAUAGCCAAAAAUAAUCUGAGAAUGGAUACAAAUGUGGCUACUGAUGCCGUUUAAUAUUAAAUAAGAGAAAUUUAAUAUUUCUGUCCCUUUUGCCUUUAACUGAAUAUAAUUCAGUUCUGAUAAUACGAAUGUAACACCUUUUGUCAUUUUGUAAUUAAUAAAUAUGAAUAUUGAGCUCUAUGACCGAGUUGUUUUAUUUGCUCUGGUUGUUUUAUUUAUCUCUUUCUUUAAAAAUAAAAUGUGAGCAUGAGAUUUAAAAGCUACAAUGGAGGUAAAUUAGUAAACUAUACAUUUUAGGUUGUUACUUCCACAAGAGACAAGCAGCAUGGCUUCUAAAGACUCAAAAUAUUGCAUACUGUUAAAAAAAAAAAAAAAAAAAAAACUUUAGUGACUAACUCCUUUAGUUGUUGUUUUUUUUUCUGUAAGUGCUAAUACAGUAGAGGGGCGCCAUUUCCUUACACAAGAACCCCAAUGCCUAAUAUUUUAUUAAUUAAUUAUUAUUAAUUUUUACAAAUUGAUUUUUUUUUUUUUUUUUUUUUUUAUGUACAGCUUGUAGCACACAUGCAUCCUGAACAUUUGAGCUUUGGUGCUCCCGA